This 253-nucleotide ribosomal RNA is filed under the name uncultured bacterium. RNAcentral's name for it is "partial 16S ribosomal RNA". It matches the Rfam family "Bacterial small subunit ribosomal RNA", at positions 524 to 776 of the family's 1533-position model. The record is from RNAcentral.
UACGGGGGGGGCAAGCGUUGUUCGGAAUUACUGGGCGUAAAGGGCGCGUAGGCGGCGUGGUAAGUCACUUGUGAAAUCUCUGAGCUUAACUCAGAACGGCCAAGUGAUACUGCUGUGCUCGAGUGUGGAAGGGGCAAUCGGAAUUCUUGGUGUAGCGGUGAAAUGCGUAGAUAUCAAGAGGAACACCUGAGGUGAAGACGGGUUGCUGGGCCAACACUGACGCUGAGGCGCGAAAGCCAGGGGAGCAAACGGG